AUUGAACGCUGGCGGCAGGCCUAACACAUGCAAGUCGAGCGAGCGGCGGACGGGUGAGUAAUGUAUGGGGACUGCCCGAUAGAGGGGGAUAACUACUGGAAACGGUAGCUAAUACCGCAUACUAUCGGAUAACCCAUAGGGGAUUAGCGAGUAGGUGAGGUAAUGGCUCGCCUAGGCGACGAUCACUAGCUGGUCUGAGAGGAUGCUCAGCCGCACUGGUACGGAGACACGGCCCAGACUCCUACGGAGGCAGCAGUGGGGAAUAUUGGACAAUGGGCUCAAGCCUGAUGAAACCAUGGCGCGUGUAUGAAGAAGGCCCUAGGGUUGUAAAGUACUUUCAGUCGGGAGGCGUUACCGACAGAAGAAGCACCGGCUAACUCCGUGCCAGCAGCCGCGGUAAUAC
RNAcentral lists this ribosomal RNA (403 nucleotides) under uncultured bacterium. RNAcentral's name for it is "partial 16S ribosomal RNA". It matches the Rfam family "Bacterial small subunit ribosomal RNA", at positions 30 to 526 of the family's 1533-position model. The record is from RNAcentral.